UGGGGAAUUUUGGACAAUGGGGGAAACCCUGAUCCAGCCAUGCCGCGUGUGUGAAGAAGGCCUUCGGGUUGUAAAGCACUUUUGUUCGGAACGAAACGGCGAGGGCUAAUAACGCUCGCUAAUGACGGUACCGGAAGAAUAAGCACCGGCUAACUACGUGCCAGCAGCCGCGGUAAUACGUAGGGUGCAAGCGUUAAUCGGAAUUACUGGGCGUAAAGCGUGCGCAGGCGGUUUUGUAAGUCAGAUGUGAAAUCCCCGGGCUCAACCUGGGAACUGCAUUUGAAACUGCAAGGCUAGAGUGUGUCAGAGGGGGGUAGAAUUCCACGUGUAGCAGUGAAAUGCGUAGAGAUGUGGAGGAAUACCGAUGGCGAAGGCAGCCCCCUGGGAUAACACUGACGCUCAUGCACGAAAGCGUGGGGAGCAAACAGG
This 429-nucleotide ribosomal RNA is filed under the name uncultured bacterium. RNAcentral's name for it is "bacterial SSU rRNA". It matches the Rfam family "Bacterial small subunit ribosomal RNA", at positions 355 to 776 of the family's 1533-position model. The record is from RNAcentral.